This 429-nucleotide ribosomal RNA is filed under the name Fusobacteriota bacterium. RNAcentral's name for it is "Fusobacteria bacterium partial 16S ribosomal RNA". It matches the Rfam family "Bacterial small subunit ribosomal RNA", at positions 355 to 776 of the family's 1533-position model. Lineage: Bacteria; Fusobacteriati; Fusobacteriota. The record is from RNAcentral.
UGGGGAAUAUUGCGCAAUGGGCGAAAGCCUGACGCAGCGACGCCGCGUGAGGGAUGAAGGUUUUCGGAUCGUAAACCUCUGUCAGAAGGGAAGAAACCGCACUGUGCUAAUCAGCAGUGCCUUGACGGUACCUUCAAAGGAAGCACCGGCCAACUCCGUGCCAGCAGCCGCGGUAAUACGGAGGGUGCAAGCGUUAAUCGGAAUUACUGGGCGUAAAGCGCACGUAGGCUGCUUUGUAAGUCAGGGGUGAAAUCCCACGGCUCAACCGUGGAACUGCCUUUGAUACUGCUUAGCUUGAAUCCGGGAGAGGGUGGCGGAAUUCCAGGUGUAGGAGUGAAAUCCGUAGAUAUCUGGAGGAACAUCAGUGGCGAAGGCGGCCACCUGGACCGGUAUUGACGCUGAGGUGCGAAAGCGUGGGGAGCAAACAGG